GAUGAACGCUGACAGAAUGCUUAACACAUGCAAGUCGAUUCGAUUUACCUUCGGGUAUUGAGGAUGGCGGACGGGUGAGUAACGCGUAAGGAACUUGCCUCUUGGUCUGGGACAACUGUUGGAAACGACAGCUAAUACCGGAUAUUAUGAGAUUCUCGCAUGGGAAACUUAUGAAAGCUAUAUGCGACAAGAGAGAGCCUUGCGUUCCAUUAGCUAGUUGGUGGGGUAACGGCCCACCAAGGCGACGAUGGAUAGCCGGCCUGAGAGGGUGAACGGCCACAAGGGGACUGAGACACGGCCCUUACUCCUACGGGAGGAAGGAGUGGGGAAUAUUGGACAAUGGACCAAAAGUCUGAUCCAGCAAUUCUGUGUGCACGAUGAAGGUCUUCGGAUUGUAAAGUGCUUUCAGUUGGGAAGAAGCAAGUGACGGUACCAACAGAAGAAGCGACGGCUAAAUACGUGCCAGCAGCCGCCGUAA
Molecule: ribosomal RNA, 478 nt
Filed under: uncultured bacterium
Lineage: Bacteria
Description: partial 16S ribosomal RNA
Rfam family: Bacterial small subunit ribosomal RNA
Source: RNAcentral